This 465-nucleotide ribosomal RNA is filed under the name Vreelandella stevensii. RNAcentral describes it as "partial 16S ribosomal RNA". It matches the Rfam family "Bacterial small subunit ribosomal RNA", at positions 338 to 795 of the family's 1533-position model. Lineage: Bacteria; Pseudomonadati; Pseudomonadota; Gammaproteobacteria; Oceanospirillales; Halomonadaceae. The record is from RNAcentral.
CCUACGGGAGGCAGCAGUGGGGAAUAUUGGACAAUGGGGGGAACCCUGAUCCAGCCAUGCCGCGUGUGUGAAGAAGGCCCUCGGGUUGUAAAGCACUUUCAGUGAGGAAGAACGCCUGGUGGUUAAUACCCAUCAGGAAAGACAUCACUCACAGAAGAAGCACCGGCUAACUCCGUGCCAGCAGCCGCGGUAAUACGGAGGGUGCGAGCGUUAAUCGGAAUUACUGGGCGUAAAGCGCGCGUAGGUGGCUUGAUAAGCCGGUUGUGAAAGCCCCGGGCUCAACCUGGGAACGGCAUCCGGAACUGUCAAGCUAGAGUGCAGGAGAGGAAGGUAGAAUUCCCGGUGUAGCGGUGAAAUGCGUAGAGAUCGGGAGGAAUACCAGUGGCGAAGGCGGCCUUCUGGACUGCCACUGACACUGAGGUGCGAAAGCGUGGGUAGCAAACAGGAUUAGAUACCCUAGUAGUC